This 505-nucleotide ribosomal RNA is filed under the name uncultured bacterium. Its description in RNAcentral is "partial 16S ribosomal RNA". It matches the Rfam family "Bacterial small subunit ribosomal RNA", at positions 28 to 507 of the family's 1533-position model. The record is from RNAcentral.
GACGAACGCUGGCGGCGUGCCUAAUACAUGCAAGUAGAACGCACAGUUUAUACCGUAGCUUGCUACACCAUAAACUGUGAGUUGCGAACGGGUGAGUAACGCGUAGGUAACCUGCCUGGUAGCGGGGGAUAACUAUUGGAAACGAUAGCUAAUACCGCAUAAUAUUGAUUAUUGCAUGAUAAUUGAUUGAAAGAUCAUAUUGCAUCACUACCAGAUGGACCUGCGUUGUAUUAGCUAGUAGGUGAGGUAACGGCUCACCUAGGCGACGAUACAUAGCCGACCUGAGAGGGUGAUCGGCCACACUGGGACUGAGACACGGCCCAGACUCCUACGGGAGGCAGCAGUAGGGAAUCUUCGGCAAUGGACGAAAGUCUGACCGAGCAACGCCGCGUGAGUGAAGAAGGUUUUCGGAUCGUAAAGCUCUGUUGUAAGAGAAGAACGGGUGUGAGAGUGGAAAGUUCACACUGUGACGGUAUCUUACCAGAAAGGGACGGCUAACUACGUG